AGCAGCCGCGGUAAUUCCAGCUCCAAUAGCGUAUAUUAAAGUUGUUGCAGUUAAAAAGCUCGUAGUUGAAUUUCGAGAUCAAAUUGUUGGUCGUGCCUCGGUACGUACUGGUAAUUUUGGUUUCUCCCUUCUGAAGAACCAUGAUGUCAUUAAUUUGGUGUCUUGGGGAAUCAGGACUGUUACUUUGAAAAAAUUAGAGUGUUUAAAGCAGGCUCGCGCUUGAAUACAUUAGCAUGGAAUAAUGAAAUAGGACGUUUGAUUCUAUUUUGUGGUUUCUAGGAUCGACGUAAUGAUUAAUAGGGAUAGUUGGGGGGCAUUAGUAUUCAAUUGUCAGAGGUGAAAUUCUUGGAUUUAUUGAAGACUAACUACUGCGAAAGCAUUUGCCAAGGAUGUUUUCAUUAAUCAAGAACGAAGUUAGGAGAUCGAAGACGAUCAGAUACCGUCGUAGUCUUAACCAUAAACUAUGCCGACUAGGGAUCGGAUGAUGUUAAUUUUUA
RNAcentral lists this ribosomal RNA (497 nucleotides) under uncultured Glomus. RNAcentral describes it as "SSU rRNA". It matches the Rfam family "Eukaryotic small subunit ribosomal RNA", at positions 569 to 1072 of the family's 1831-position model. The record is from RNAcentral. Lineage: Eukaryota; Fungi; Glomeromycota; Glomeromycetes; Glomerales; Glomeraceae.